Molecule: long non-coding RNA, 2847 nt
Organism: Gorilla gorilla gorilla (western lowland gorilla)
Lineage: Eukaryota; Metazoa; Chordata; Mammalia; Primates; Hominidae
Exons: 3
Source: RefSeq, a predicted model, not a curated record
GCCGCCAUUUGCAUAGGAUGUGACUUGCUCUUCCUUGCCUUCCACCAUGAUUGUGAGGCCUCCUCAGCCACAUGGAACUGGAGUAAAGACAGAAUUUCUCACUGUAGCAAGAUGGCAGACUAAGAAAUAUUUAACACUAUCACUGUUCCCUGAAGCCUCCCCAGAAGCCGAGCAAAUGCCAGUGCCACGCUUGUACAGCCUGCAGAACUGUCAGCUAAUUCAACCUCUUUCUUUUUUAACUACCCAGUCUCAGGUAUUCGUUUAUAGCCACGCAAAAAUGGCCUAAAACAUCCUUUUCCCUCCUACUGAAUCUGGAUAAACUUAUGACUGCUUUGACCAACAGAGUACAGUAAGUUUUGGACUUAGACUUUAAGAUGACUUGCUACUUCCUCUUACUGGCUCAGAGUUCUGGGCGGCCAUGUAAGAAAUUCUAGUGCCUUGCUGUAGAAACAAUAUCUCAAGUAGGAACCUUUAGGUAGGAAUCUUGAGAUUAUAUGGAGCUAAGCCUAGCUUUCCAAUCACCUCUGCCAAAGCCCCAGCCUGUUUGGACCCUGCAGAUGAGACCCAUCACCAGCUGAAUACCACUGAGUAAACUCUCAAUGCGACAGGGAGCAGAAAUAUCCAGCUGAGCUUUGCAUGAAUUAUGAAGCUUAAAAUCAUGAGGUAUAAUUAAUGUUUGUGGCUUAAAGCCAUUAAAUUUUGAGGAAGAAGCUAGGAAGCAAUAGAUAUCUAAAAAAAAGUCUGAGAAUUUUGCAGAAUGAACAAAAUAUGAAUCCUUAAAGCAUCAAAUAAAGGCUCAAUAAAGAGAAUAAAAGUUAUCCCUACUGGGACAUACUGUUGCGAACUGCAGAACAAAAGAGGAAAAUGAAAUCAAGAAUGAAGCAAAAGAGGAAGAAUAGAUUACAUACAAAUAAACAAUUUUAAUAAUUAAUGUACAUUCCUUUAACACCAAUAAAAGACUAGAAUGUAAUGGAUUAAUAUUUUCCAAGCAAUAAGGGAAACUGCUAACCUAGAAUUCUAAAGCCUGCCAAAUCAUCAUUCAAGAUUAAGAGCAAAAUCAAGACAACUUUGGUCCUAAAAGAUUGAAAAAUUUAUUACUAACAAAGCAUCUCUGAAUGAACUUCUAAAGGACGUAUUUCAGUACGAAGGAAACUAAACUCAGAAGGAAGAUGCGUGAAACAAUGAGUAAAAACAAAUAGCACUCUGUAACCAUAAGAAAAACUCAAACAAAAAAGCGAUUUAGGCAAAAGUAAAUAUCUUUUUAUAUAAAUUCCCAAGGUUCUUCAUUAGCAGGUGAGAAUUUAUGCAUGAUAAUUAUUAGUACUAUCAUUGUUUCCUGAUAGUUUGUGCAUGACAGAAAUCAUACCUUAUCUCAUUUAAACAGAAGAAAUAUGUAUUAAUGUUUCCACAUAACAAGGAAAAAAUGGGGAUUAAAGAACGAAUCAGAAUUUGAACAGCUAGUGAGUUGUGGAAUGUAGUUUGGAAACAGUGAUUGCAAAGAUAAUGACCAGCUCCUCUAAACCAUAUAGUCUCCUGUGUAUUCUUUCAGAAUUUAUUUUGCUUGAAUCUCUUACUUUUAAGGAACUUACACAUCUUGUAUAUAUCCAUUUCUCUUUUCUAACUCCCGAUACACUCACCUUCUCCUUUUCCAUCAAACACCAUUGAUACCAAAUGAAAGGCUGUUUACUCUGAAGACAGAGAAUUAUCAAAACAAGUUUCCCAUGACAAAAACGUCUAUGAAAAUGCCAAAUAUAUAUCACCUUGCAAAAUAAUCAUCUUUGUGAAGGAUAAUUAUCUGGCUCUGAAGGACAGAGAUGGUAGCUCUUGCGUAUUUAGCAGGGGAGGUAUUGCUACUCUUAUUUUAAAACAGAGAAAAAUUAAACUCAGGCUACGUGAUCAGUCCAAAAUCACACAACUAUUUAAAAAUAGAGAAAAAUUCAAAGUAAUGUAUUGUGUCUCUGAAGAUGAAGCAUAUUCUAUCACCCAUGUUGACUCUCACAGGUUGGGAAAGUCUGUCAUGUGUCUGGCAUUGGAAUUUGGGACUAUAAACAACUUUUGUCAUAAGUCUUUUCCAAUAUUAUACACUCAAGUGCAAACAAUUCCAAAUGGCACUCACCAACAUUUAUUUAUUGAUUAUCUAUAAUUUUUUGCUCAUUGGAUUAUUACUUUAGACGGGUGCUAUAAUUAGGCACAUCUCUGGAAUGUGGACAAGACAUGACUGGUAUAAAAAUCAAAAUAAAGGUGUGAAAGAAGUGAGGGUAAAGUUUUUGGGGAUGUUCAGGCUACACACAUCCGUCAGCUACUUUUUCAAAAGGAACAGUGGAGAAUCUGACUGUAAAAAGUAAAAUAGAGGUUCCUCUUCAAAGACUUUCCUCCCUGUCUAAUUAGGAAUAAGUAAUAACUUCUCUUAAAAGCAAAAUUUAUUCGAAGACCUGUGCUAACGUUCUUAAAUAUCUGCUAGCCAUAACAGAGAAAUCAAUGUACUUUAAGUUCUUAGCUUAUCCACAAUUGAGCUUAAAUAUUUGCCCUGGCAUGCUUAUACUGGUCCAAGCAAGCAUUGGGUCAUAGCCUGUUCCUUUUCCUUAUUUAAAAGUGUUUUUACUCUUCUCAGCAUUCCGCAAGUUACUUCCUCCUUCCUUUGUUCUCGUCUACCUUUGCCUCUUUUAAAAAGUUCUAAGUUGCUCGCCAAUUGGGAUAAACACAGAAUGUGAGGUUCCGUUCCAGCCAAUGGAAACCGGAAACAGCAGUAGGGUGGAUGCGUCAGGUUAUAAAUGACCCUGUCUCCUUUGUUCGGUGUACUCUCGUGGCAAAACUGCUGGCGAGUGUACCCUUUCUGCAGGAAGUAAA